GGCAACAUGCCAGAGUGGUUAAUGGGUAUGCCUCGAAAGCAUAUGUCUUCGGACGCGCAGGUUCGAAUCCUGCUGUUGUCG
Molecule: transfer RNA, 81 nt
Filed under: Stachybotrys chlorohalonatus IBT 40285
Lineage: Eukaryota; Fungi; Ascomycota; Sordariomycetes; Hypocreales; Stachybotryaceae
Description: tRNA-Ser (CGA) (tRNA-Ser-CGA-1-1)
Rfam family: tRNA
About the family: Transfer RNA (tRNA) molecules are approximately 80 nucleotides in length. Their secondary structure includes four short double-helical elements and three loops (D, anti-codon, and T loops). Further hydrogen bonds mediate the characteristic L-shaped molecular structure. tRNAs have two regions of fundamental functional importance: the anti-codon, which is responsible for specific mRNA codon recognition, and the 3' end, to which the tRNAs corresponding amino acid is attached (by aminoacyl-tRNA synthetases). tRNAs cope with the degeneracy of the genetic code in two manners: having more than one tRNA (with a specific anti-codon) for a particular amino acid; and 'wobble' base-pairing, i.e. permitting non-standard base-pairing at the 3rd anti-codon position.
Source: RNAcentral